This 340-nucleotide unclassified non-coding RNA is filed under the name root metagenome. RNAcentral describes it as "partial contains small subunit ribosomal RNA, internal transcribed spacer 1, and 5.8S ribosomal RNA". The record is from RNAcentral.
UUUCCGUAGGUGAACCUGCGGAAGGAUCAUUGUCGAACCCUGCAUAGCAGAAGAACCCGCGAACACGUUGAAAAACACAUUUGGGGGAUGUGUGCACGGGACAAGGCGACAGCCCCCCGUGCAUGCGGCCCCUUCUUGUGGUGCUGGAGCAAUCGAGCGAAAGCAUGUGAGCUUUGGCCCCCCAAGAAACAAAACCCCGGCCCAAUUCGCGCCAAGGAAAACUUUAAACUCAAGGGCGUUCUCUCCUCACGUUUCCCCCAUUUGCGGGUGCGCGACUGGGUGUUUGCCCGCUCCUUAGUGAAAACACAAACGACUCUCGGUAACGGAUAGCUCGGCUCUC